AUUGAACGCUGGCGGAAUGCUUUACACAUGCAAGUCGAACGGCAGCACAGACUUCGGUCUGGUGGCGAGUGGCGAACGGGUGAGUAAUGUAUCGGAACGUGCCCAGUCGUGGGGGAUAACGUAGUGAAAAUUACGCUAAUACCGCAUACGAUCUAUGGAUGAAAGCGGGGGAUCGCAAGACCUCGCGCGAUUGGAGCGGCCGAUAUCGGAUUAGGUAGUUGGUGGGGUAAAGGCCCACCAAGCCAACGAUCUGUAGCCGGUCUGAGAGGACGACCAGCCACACUGGAACUGAGACACGGUCCAGACUCCUACGGGAGGCAGCAGUGGGGAAUUUUGGACAAUGGGCGAAAGCCUGAUCCAGCCAUUCCGCGUGCAGGAUGAAGGCCCUCGGGUUGUAAACUGCUUUUGUACAGAACGAAAAGGUUUCUACUAAUACUAGGAGCUCAUGACGGUACUGUAAGAAUAAGCACCGGCUAACUACGUGCCAGCCGCCGCGGUAA
Molecule: ribosomal RNA, 500 nt
Filed under: uncultured bacterium
Lineage: Bacteria
Description: partial 16S ribosomal RNA
Rfam family: Bacterial small subunit ribosomal RNA
Source: RNAcentral